UGUGCCAGCCGCCGCGGUAAUACGUAGGGUGCGAGCGUUGUCCGGAAUUAUUGGGCGUAAAGGGCUCGUAGGCGGUUUGUCGCGUCGGGAGUGAAACUCAGGGCUUAACUCUGAGCUUGCUUCCGAUACGGGCAGACUAGAGGUAUGCAGGGGAGAACGGAAUUCCUGGUGUAGCGGUGAAAUGCGCAGAUAUCAGGAGGAACACCGGUGGCGAAGGCGGUUCUCUGGGCAUUACCUGACGCUGAGGAGCGAAAGUGUGGGGAGCGAACAGGAUUAGAUA
RNAcentral lists this ribosomal RNA (280 nucleotides) under uncultured Actinomycetales bacterium. RNAcentral describes it as "partial 16S ribosomal RNA". It matches the Rfam family "Bacterial small subunit ribosomal RNA", at positions 504 to 784 of the family's 1533-position model. The record is from RNAcentral. Lineage: Bacteria; Bacillati; Actinomycetota; Actinomycetes; Actinomycetales.